CCGUCGCCGGGCAGGUGGUGACGGUGCGCUACGGCCGGAUCGGCGCGGCGGGGCAGACCCAGACGACGACGUUCGCCUCGGCGGCGAAGGCCCA
This 94-nucleotide transfer RNA is filed under the name Streptomyces malachitofuscus. RNAcentral describes it as "tRNA-Arg". The record is from RNAcentral. Lineage: Bacteria; Bacillati; Actinomycetota; Actinomycetes; Kitasatosporales; Streptomycetaceae.